GUUGAGGAAGAUAAUGACGGUACUCAACAAGGAAGUGACGGCUAACUACGUGCCAGCAGCCGCGGUAAAACGUAGGUCACAAGCGUUGUCCGGAAUUACUGGGUGUAAAGGGAGCGCAGGCGGGAAGACAAGUUGGAAGUGAAAUCCAUGGGCUCAACCCAUAAACUGCUUUCAAAACUGUUUUUCUUGAGUAGUGCAGAGGUAGGCGGAAUUCCCGGUGUAGCGGUGGAAUGCGUAGAUAUCGGGAGGAACACCAGUGGCGAAGGCGGCCUACUGGGCACCAACUGACGCUGAGGCUCGAAAGUGUGGGUAGCAAACAGGAUUAGAUACCCUGGUAGUCCACACUGUAAACGAUGAUUACUAGGUGUUGGAGGAUUGACCCCUUCAGUGCCGCAGUUAACACAAUAAGUAAUCCACCUGGGGAGUACGACCGCAAGGUUGAAACUCAAAGGAAUUGACGGGGGCCCGCACAAGCAGUGGAGUAUGUGGUUUAAUUCGACGCAACGCGAAGAACCUUACCAAGUCUUGACAUCCUGCGACGAUGCUGGAAACAGUAUUUUCCUUCGGGACGCAGAGACAGGUGGUGCAUGGUUGUCGUCAGCUCGUGUCGUGAGAUGUUGGGUUAAGUCCCGCAACGAGCGCAACCCUUAUGGUCAGUUACUACGCAAGAGGACUCUGGCCGGACUGCCGUUGACAAA
Molecule: ribosomal RNA, 698 nt
Filed under: Faecalibacterium prausnitzii
Lineage: Bacteria; Bacillati; Bacillota; Clostridia; Eubacteriales; Oscillospiraceae
Description: bacterial SSU rRNA
Rfam family: Bacterial small subunit ribosomal RNA
Source: RNAcentral